Molecule: ribosomal RNA, 505 nt
Filed under: uncultured bacterium
Lineage: Bacteria
Description: partial 16S ribosomal RNA
Rfam family: Bacterial small subunit ribosomal RNA
Source: RNAcentral
GACGAACGCUGGCGGCGUGCCUAAUACAUGCAAGUCGAACGCACAGUUUAUACUGUAGCUUGCUACACCAUAAACUGUGAGUUGCGAACGGGUGAGUAACGCGUAGGUAACCUGCCUGGUAGCGGGGGAUAACUAUUGGAAACGAUAGCUAAUACCGCAUAAUAUUGAUUAUUGCAUGAUAAUUGAUUGAAAGAUGCUAUUGCAUCACUACCAGAUGGACCUGCGUUGUAUUAGCUAGUAGGUGAGGUAACGGCUCACCUAGGCGACGAUACAUAGCCGACCUGAGAGGGUGAUCGGCCACACUGGGACUGAGACACGGCCCAGACUCCUACGGGAGGCAGCAGUAGGGAAUCUUCGGCAAUGGACGAAAGUCUGACCGAGCAACGCCGCGUGAGGGAAGAAGGUUUUCGGAUCGUAAAGCUCUGUUGUAAGAGAAGAACGGGUGUGAGAGUGGAAAGUUCACACUGUGACGGUAUCUUACCAGAAAGGGACGGCUAACUACGUG